CSCCCUGUUUUACAAAAACAUGUYUUUUUGGAAAUAAUUUAAAGUYUAAUYUGCCCMCUGAUAAAUAUAUUAAAGGGSUGCAGUAUUUUGACUGUACAAAGGUAGCAUAAUCAUUAGUYUYUUAAUUGGUGACUUGUAUGAAAGAUUGGAUGAAAUAUAAACUGUYUYUAAUUAAUUUAUAAAAUUUAAUUUUUUAGUAAAAAAGCUAAAAUAAUUUUAAAAGACGAGAAGACCCUAUAGAGUUUUAUAAUUUAUUUGAUUAUUAUUAAUAUGUAAAUUUUAAAAUUAAAAUUAAAUAAAUUAUUUUGUUGGGGKGACAGAAAAAUUAAAUUAACUUUUUUAAAUAAUUAACAUUAAUUUAUGAAUAAAUGAUCCAUUAAUAUUGAUUAAAAGAAAAAAUUACCUUAGGGAUAACAGSGUAAUUUUUUUUUUUAGUUCAAAUAGGAAAAAAAGUUUGCGACCUCGAUGUUGGAUUAAGAUAAAAUUUAAAUGCAAAAGUUAAAAUUUGAUCKUCGAUCAAUCCGC
RNAcentral lists this ribosomal RNA (525 nucleotides) under Papilio machaon (common yellow swallowtail). RNAcentral describes it as "partial 16S ribosomal RNA". Lineage: Eukaryota; Metazoa; Arthropoda; Insecta; Lepidoptera; Papilionidae. The record is from RNAcentral.